CACCGAUAAAGGCAAACCAGUUGAAAGGCUGGGACGCAAAGCUAAAGGGCCUAAUCGAAAGAAUGGCAGCCUAGCCACCGAA
Molecule: non-coding RNA, 82 nt
Filed under: Alkaliphilus peptidifermentans DSM 18978
Lineage: Bacteria; Bacillati; Bacillota; Clostridia; Peptostreptococcales; Natronincolaceae
Description: GEMM cis-regulatory element
Rfam family: c-di-GMP-I-GGC riboswitch aptamer
Source: RNAcentral